This is a long non-coding RNA of Lathyrus oleraceus (garden pea), 2214 nucleotides long. RefSeq lists it as uncharacterized. The transcript has 3 exons. The record is from RefSeq and is a predicted model, not a curated record. NCBI's taxonomy places the organism in Eukaryota, Viridiplantae, Streptophyta, Magnoliopsida, Fabales, Fabaceae.
CACCCUUCUACGUUCAUUCCAAUAGCAAGUGCUCUGGUUCAGCAACGUAUCUAGGACGAAACUCCACGGCGCCGGAAAGAAACUCGCGCCCACAACCGAAAAUCCCAACGAAAAUUUACAAAAUUGAAUCCGUCCUCGACGAAAAAUGAUAAAAUCCAUAUGGAAAUUCAAGGUCCAACCCAAUUCAGAAUCGAAAUCGAGAUCAUUAGCGUGGCGGAAUAAAGAGAUUGAAGGAGGAAGAACGACCUACCGGUGCUUCUAACACGGUGUCUCCGAGUAAUUUAUCUUUGAUCUUCUUCGAUUGCUUCCGUUAAGUGUUGUUUCUGUUCUUCAACUCCUCGUUGUUUGAUUCAGCCUGAGACGAGGUCGUGGUUCAUAUGUGGUAUCGCGUCGUGGGCGAUUAGAUCCGUUGUUGUCGUUGACGUCGAAUUGAGAUGAAGACCGAGCGCCACAUUCGCGCUGUGAUGAAGAUUGAAGAUGGAGCUUUGUUCGUGUGUUGCGUCUCAUUGUCUAUUGAAGAUGACGGAUUGUUUUGUUCGAAUCGUGAGUCUUCCUUGAUUUCUCUGUUUCUAUAAGCUUUCUUUCUUUCCCUCCAUCUGCUUUUUGUGAAUUCGAGCCACUUUUGUGAAUUCCUCUAAAGUUAUGUUUUUGAAGAAUGAUGAGAGGUUUUCGAGAAUCUGGUUCAGUUUUGAAGGUUUGUGAAAGAGGUUCUAAGGGUUGUCAAGAUCGUUGAAGGGUGCAGAAGGUUUUUGGUUCUGCAGGGUUGAAGGUUGAGUGUGACAGAAGCGUGGAUUGGAGAGUUGGUUAUUGAAUAUUGAAGGUGGAAAGUUUCGGUUGUUGAAGAUUGGAAGAGGAAGAGAAAUUGUGUUUUGGCUAUUGUGAAUUUGUUAGGAGGUGGUGAUUUUUGGAGAUUCUGUCAUGUUGUUCCUGCAAUUUCAUGGCCCAAGUUGUUAUUAAGGGUUAGGAUUGGUGGAGGCUGAAAUGUGAUUGAAGGUUGGUUGCAGAUUUUGUUAUGAGUUGGUUACCACAGUUGGUGAAUGGAAGUUAGGAGUUGGAUUUUCGGUUUUUUGUGAUGACAGUUGAGAGGUCUUUUUUGGGGUCGUGAAGAGAGUCCUGUGGAGGGUGAUUUGAGGAGUUUUUAUCCAGUUCAAGUUGAUGUCGUUGGAGGUUUUUGAUGUCGGCAAUUGGCCAUUUUGUUGGUUGGUUCAUCUUUGAAGGGUAGAGAGGAGGUUACUGUUCUGUUUUCUUUUCAAUGUCGUUUCCGGUUGGGUUCUGUUGCAUUGUUGCUGACUUGCUGUUGUAGGAUAUGAAUAUAUUUCCUGUUACGUGAAUCCUUUCAUGGUGGAUUGUUGUGUGGACUAAUAACCCUGCUGCUAUUUGUUUUGAUAUUGUUAGGAAUGUAUGGUUACUGCGAUCAAAGGGUUUUUGUGACAGAAGGUGUUGGUUUGAAGGAUGUGGAAUUUUCUCUCAUUCCGUUGUUCCAAGUUAGAAUUAGGUGUUGAAAGGUCCAGUGGGAUGGUUUUGAGUUUAGUUUUUUUCGUUAGAAUUCUGUUGUAAAUUCUGUUACGGAAGUUUCCAUUCGGUUAUCAGUUGGAGGUUAGAAUGGUUGAGAGAUUAUUGCGGGUUGUAAUCGGUUUUUGGGAAGUUGGUAGGAAAAAUUGGAGGGUAAAGUUACGCAGAUUUUUUAAAGGUUUUGGUAUCUGUUUUUUGGAAGUUGGUAGGAAAAAUUGGAGGGUAAAGUUAGGCAUAUUUUUUAAAGGUUUUGGUAUCUGUUUUUUUCCGGUUGCAAGGUCAUUGGUUUUAAUUCGGUUGAGUGAAGAAUGAUCUAGGGUCUCCUUUGGCGAAAACCAUCUCAACCAAGUCAAUAGUAACCUGGAAGAAAGGCCAUUGAUUGUACAUAUCUUGAAGCAUUUGGAGAUUCUUUAGAUCUUUCUCAAUCGCAUGUUUGAAUGCUUCUCCAAAGCCAAGCCAUACUAGUAAAUGGAAUCUUGAUUGUGUCCAAGCGAAAAUCCAACUGUCUCUUUUCUUUCAUUUUAUUUAAUAAUCCUCUGGGAAAUAGAUAUACUAGAAGGUAUGAAUGAAUACCACCAUCAUGUAAGACAAGUCAGUGAAUUUUAUCUUUUGAUAGUGGUUUGUAGUUUGUAUUGCAAUGGAUAAUGAUCAUUGGAUAUGUAAAAUGGGUUAUUAUGCAUUAAUGGAUAAUUAUUGGAUAUA